This 259-nucleotide long non-coding RNA is filed under the name Ananas comosus (pineapple). Its description in RNAcentral is "long non-coding RNA (ACOM_LNC007041)". The record is from RNAcentral. Lineage: Eukaryota; Viridiplantae; Streptophyta; Magnoliopsida; Poales; Bromeliaceae.
AAUUAUUUAGCGGUGAUUAUCAAACGGCCACUAUUACUAUUAUUUUAUUAUCCCUUUAGCGGCAAUUAAUUUCAAAUAUAUAUCUUUAACCCACUAAUAUUUAUAUAUUAAAUAAAUAUAAUAAUCCUAACUUAACCUCAACCCUAACCGAACACACCGGAUCGAACCACCCUGCGUCAAUCACCUCAGCUCGCGCCCUUUCUCUAUCGCGAGUGGAUCAUCCCCACCCCCGUGCACCCUACAUCCCCCCCUUUCCCCC